UAGGGAAUAUUGGUCAAUGGAUGGAAGUCUGAACCAGCCAUGCCGCGUGCAGGAAGAAGGCCUUCUGGGUUGUAAACUGCUUUUUGCCAGGGGCUAAAAAGCUCAUGCGUGAGAAAUUGAAAGUACCUGGUGAAUAAGCCACGGCUAACUACGUGCCAGCAGCCGCGGUAAUACGUAGGUGGCAAGCGUUGUCCGGAUUUAUUGGGUUUAAAGGGUGCGUAGGCGGCUUUGUAAGUCAGUGGUGAAAUAUGGCAGCUCAACUGUCAGGGUGCCAAUGAUACUGCGGAGCUUGAGUACAGAUGAGGUAGGCGGAAUUGACGGUGUAGCGGUGAAAUGCUUAGAUAUCGUCAAGAACACCGAUAGCGAAGGCAGCUUACUAGGCUGUAACUGACGCUGAGGCACGAAGUGUGGGGAUCAAACAGGAUUAGAUACCCUGGUAGUCCACACUGUAAACGUUGAUGACUCGCUGUUGG
RNAcentral lists this ribosomal RNA (473 nucleotides) under uncultured Bacteroidota bacterium. RNAcentral's name for it is "bacterial SSU rRNA". It matches the Rfam family "Bacterial small subunit ribosomal RNA", at positions 355 to 826 of the family's 1533-position model. Lineage: Bacteria; Pseudomonadati; Bacteroidota. The record is from RNAcentral.